GUUAUCCGGAAUUAUUGGGCGUAAAGCGCGCGUAGGCGGUUUUUUAAGUCUGAUGUGAAAGCCCACGGCUCAACCGUGGAGGGUCAUUGGAAACUGGAAAACUUGAGUGCAGAAGAGGAAAGUGGAAUUCCAUGUGUAGCGGUGAAAUGCGCAGAGAUAUGGAGGAACACCAGUGGCGAAGGCGACUUUCUGGUCUGUAACUGACGCUGAUGUGCGAAAGCGUGGGGA
RNAcentral lists this ribosomal RNA (228 nucleotides) under Listeria monocytogenes. RNAcentral's name for it is "partial 16S ribosomal RNA". It matches the Rfam family "Bacterial small subunit ribosomal RNA", at positions 540 to 767 of the family's 1533-position model. The record is from RNAcentral. Lineage: Bacteria; Bacillati; Bacillota; Bacilli; Caryophanales; Listeriaceae.